AUUGAACGCUGGCGGCAUGCUUUACACAUGCAAGUCGAACGGCAGCGCGGGGCAACCUGGCGGCGAGUGGCGAACGGGUGAGUAAUAUAUCGGAACGUACCCAGAAGUGGGGGAUAACGUAGCGAAAGUUACGCUAAUACCGCAUACGAUCUACGGAUGAAAGUAGGGGACCGCAAGGCCUUAUGCUUUUGGAGCGGCCGAUAUCUGAUUAGCUAGUUGGUGAGGUAAAGGCUCACCAAGGCGACGAUCAGUAGCUGGUCUGAGAGGACGACCAGCCACACUGGAACUGAGACACGGUCCAGACUCCUACGGGAGGCAGCAGUGGGGAAUUUUGGACAAUGGGCGCAAGCCUGAUCCAGCAAUGCCGCGUGAGAGAAGAAGGCCUUCGGGUUGUAAAGCUCUUUUGUCAGGGAAGAAACGGUAGAGGCUAAUAUCCUUUGCUAAUGACGGUACCUGAAGAAUAAGCACCGGCUAACUACGUG
Molecule: ribosomal RNA, 482 nt
Filed under: uncultured bacterium
Lineage: Bacteria
Description: partial 16S ribosomal RNA
Rfam family: Bacterial small subunit ribosomal RNA
Source: RNAcentral